AUGACACAGUGCUGCAAUGGAGGGAGAAACAGGGGGCUGUGGGAGCACAUUAGCAGGUUUGCCUGAGUCUGCGCUGGGAGGGGAAUUCUCCAAAGAAAAGUGUAAUGGGGAGGUACGUUUGAGCUUGUUCUUUGAGAGCAUCUAGGAACUUAUCAGACGGAAGAAGUCAUUCCAGGAAGACAGAAAGGACUGUGUGGUGGCUAAGAAUCUAGAAAAACCUGCUAUGUUUGCGUAACAGUAAAAUGGUUGAUUAUGAGGUUGAGAGUUUGGUGGCUUUAAAUUAGUGGAAGAAGAAAUGGACCCCAGGACCAAGGGUGGUAUGCAGAGAUCAUAUUUGGCCAAGUAGCUUAUUUGAGACAGAUUUUCUGGGAAGAAUUUUCAGCAGGGAAGCUAUGAAUGGAAAGGAGACUUUGGGGCCCAUAGGCCUCUCCUGCACUCCGUGUGAUCUCAAAGGCCACAAAGGGCCGCCCA
Homo sapiens (human) is the source of this 471-nucleotide long non-coding RNA. RefSeq lists it as uncharacterized. The transcript has 3 exons. The record is from RefSeq and is a predicted model, not a curated record. NCBI's taxonomy places the organism in Eukaryota, Metazoa, Chordata, Mammalia, Primates, Hominidae.